Molecule: ribosomal RNA, 586 nt
Filed under: uncultured Glomus
Lineage: Eukaryota; Fungi; Glomeromycota; Glomeromycetes; Glomerales; Glomeraceae
Description: eukaryotic LSU rRNA
Rfam family: Eukaryotic large subunit ribosomal RNA
Source: RNAcentral
CAUGGAGGGUGAGAAUCCCGUCCGGCUGACCUUCAGGACGUUUUACGAUACGCUCUCAAAGAGUCGAGUUGUUUGGGAUUGCAGCUCAAAAUGGGAGGUAAAUUUCUCCUAAGGCUAAAUACCGGCGAGAGACCGAUAGCGAACAAGUACCGUGAGGGAAAGAUGAAAAGAAUUUUGAAAAGAAAGUCAAACAGUACGUGAAAUUGUUGAAAGGGAAACGAUUGAAGCCAGUCGUACCGACGGGAAUUCAACUUCUCGAGUGCUAAUCGUGGGUGACGUUGAGCUUCACGGCCUUCGUUGCUUGUGUUGUUGGUGCUUUUGGGGUGUACUUUUUCGUAUUGGUAGGUCAGCAUCGAUUUCGAUCGUCAUAAAAUGAUCGGGGGAAUGUAGCUUCGGUCUCGUAUCGGAGUGUUAUAGACCUUGGUAGAUGUGACGAUUGGGAUCGAGGAUUGCAACGAAUACCCUCUGGGCUAUCCGUCUGACCUCUGAAAGUCGCUCGGGUGUCGAAAGCUUGCUUAUGGUUAUUCGAGUUGGCGGUCAAUAGGUUAGAACGUGAUUACAUUCGUUAAGGAUGUUGACGUAAUGG